Molecule: ribosomal RNA, 1037 nt
Filed under: uncultured bacterium
Lineage: Bacteria
Description: bacterial SSU rRNA
Rfam family: Bacterial small subunit ribosomal RNA
Source: RNAcentral
AACGCUGGCGGCGUGCAUGAGACAUGCAAGUCGAACGGACUUCUCGAGCUUGCUCGAGAAGUUAGUGGCGGACGGCUGAGUAACGCGUAGGUGACCUACCCCGAAGUGGGGAAUAACUGCCCGAAAGGGUGGCUAAUACCGCAUGUGAUCGUCCGUUCGGUCGGACAAUCAAAGCAGCAAUGCGCUUCGGGAGGGGCCUGCGUCCGAUUAGCUCGUUGGUGGGGUAACGGCUCACCAAGGCGACGAUCGGUAGGUGGUCUGAGAGGACGAUCACCCAGACUGGGACUGAGACACGGCCCAGACUCCUACGGGAGGCAGCAGUCGGGAAUUUUGCUCAAUGGGCGCAAGCCUGAAGCAGCAACGCCGCGUGAGGGAUGAAGGCCUUCGGGUUGUAAACCUCUUUUAUCAGGGACGAUUAUGACGGUACCUGAUGAAUAAGCCACGGCUAACUACGUGCCAGCAGCCGCGGUAAUACGUAGGUGGCAAGCGUUGUCCGGAUUUACUGGGCGUAAAGAGCGCGCAGGCGGUCGAGUAAGUCGAAUGUGAAAGCCCCCGGCUCAACUGGGGAGGGUCAUUCGAUACUGUUCGACUUGAAGGCAGGAGAGGGAAGCAGAAUUCCCGGUGUAGUGGUGAAAUGCGUAGAUAUCGGGAGGAAUACCAGUGGCGAAGGCGGCUUCCUGGCCUGUUCUUGACGCUGAGGCGCGAAAGCUGGGGGAGCAAACGGGAUUAGAUACCCCGGUAGUCCCAGCCGUAAACGAUGGACACUAGGUGUUGGUGGUAUCAACCCCGCCAGUGCCGUAGCUAACGCAUUAAGUGUCCCGCCUGGGGAGUACGGCCGCAAGGCUAAAACUCAAAGGAAUUGACGGGGGCCCGCACAAGCAGCGGAGCGUGGGGUUUAAUUCGAUGCAACGCGAAGAACCUUACCAAGACUUGACAUGACCAGGAAGUCGGCGGAAACGUCCGUGCCCCGCAAGGGGCCUGGCCACAGGUGUUGCAUGGCUGGCCGUCAGCUCCGUGUCCUGAGAAUGUUGGGGUUA